RNAcentral lists this ribosomal RNA (625 nucleotides) under uncultured marine eukaryote. Its description in RNAcentral is "bacterial SSU rRNA". It matches the Rfam family "Eukaryotic small subunit ribosomal RNA", at positions 634 to 1259 of the family's 1831-position model. The record is from RNAcentral.
UUUCUGUGUUGGUGUGACGAUCUGCGCUCCUUCAUGGGGUGUGGGCUCCGUUUUCAUCGAUGCAUCUUGCCACGAACUGCUCUGACCUUAAUUGGUUGGAGUUUCAGGGACUGGCUCGUUUACUUUGAGAAAAAUAGAGUGUUCAAAGCAGGCAUUUGCCUUGAAUAUGUUAGCAUGGAAUAAUAAUAUAGGACUUUGGUUCUAUUUUGUUGGUAUUUGGGGACCGAAGUAAUGAUUGAUAGGGACCGUUGGGGGCAUCUGUAUUCUAAAGCGAGAGGUGAAAUUCUUAGACCUUUGGAAGACAAACUACUGCGAAAGCAUUUGCCAAGGAGGUUCUCUUUAAUCAAGAACGAAAGUUGGGGGAUCGAAGACGAUCAGAUACCGUCGUAGUCUCAACUAUAAACUAUGCCAACUAGGGAUUGGUGGGUGUUUCUUUUCGACUCCAUCAGCACCUUAUGAGAAAUCAAAGUAUUUGGGUUCCGGGGGGAGUAUGGUCGCAAGGCUGAAACUUAAAGGAAUUGACGGGAGGGCACCACCAGGAGUGGAGCCUGUGGCUUAAUUUGACUCAACACGGGAAAACUUACCAGGUCCAGACAUAGUAAGGAUUGACAGGUUGAUAGCCCUU